This 463-nucleotide ribosomal RNA is filed under the name uncultured archaeon. Its description in RNAcentral is "partial 16S ribosomal RNA". The record is from RNAcentral.
AUGCAAGGGGUACGACAGUCAUUGGAGGGGGAGCACAUUGCUCCUCCGUCCCCCGCGGGGAAACGACCACCCUAGGGGUUAGGACGAGUAUUGGGGCAAAACCAUCCGUAGCUCCUUUUGUAAGUUUACCCUUAAAUCCAUGCCCUUAACGGAUGGGCUGCCGGGAAUACCGGAUAACUAAGAAGUGGGACAAGCACGGGAACUUCGUAAGAAAGGGUAAAAUCCUUUUAAUAUUUAUGACCACCUGUGGCAAAGGCGGUCUACCUCAACCAAUUCUACUGUGAUGGAGGAAGACGGGUGAGCAAACCGAAUUAAUUAUCCGAGUAACACUACUCCUAACUAUAAAAAUUCUCAGCCCUCUGCUUCUUAUCUACGACCUCUGUAGGGAAAAAAUGAAGGUUUUUUCUUUUCGCCCUCAUUUACUGUUAUAUUUAGUAACUUGUUAGGCUGCCGCACCAAUUUU